RNAcentral lists this ribosomal RNA (495 nucleotides) under uncultured bacterium. RNAcentral describes it as "partial 16S ribosomal RNA". It matches the Rfam family "Bacterial small subunit ribosomal RNA", at positions 28 to 507 of the family's 1533-position model. The record is from RNAcentral.
GACGAACGCUGGCGGCGCGCCUAAUACAUGCAAGUAGAACGCUGAAGGAGGAGCUUGCUUCUCUGGAUGAGUUGCGAACGGGUGAGUAACGCGUAGGUAACCUGCCUGGUAGCGGGGGAUAACUAUUGGAAACGAUAGCUAAUACCGCAUAAUAGUAGAUGUUGCAUGACAUUUGCUUAAAAGGUGCAAUUGCAUCACUACCAGAUGGACCUGCGUUGUAUUAGCUAGUUGGUGGGGUAACGGCUCACCAAGGCGACGAUACAUAGCCGACCUGAGAGGGUGAUCGGCCACACUGGGACUGAGACACGGCCCAGACUCCUACGGGAGGCAGCAGUAGGGAAUCUUCGGCAAUGGACGGAAGUCUGACCGAGCAACGCCGCGUGAGUGAAGAAGGGUUUCGGAUCGUAAAGCUCUGUUGUAAGAGAAGAACGAGUGUGAGAGUGGAAAGUUCACACUGUGACGGUAUCUUACCAGAAAGGGACGGCUAACUACGUG